AUUAGAAAGACUGUCAUUGAGUUAGUGGUGAUGAAAACUAGUGCAGUAGAAAGUGGAGCAGUAACCCAUGGCAACCAGUCAUUGCCUUUAUCUAAAAAGAGAGACCCAACUGAAUAGAUGGGAACAGGGACUUCCCACGUAUAUUCAAGCAGAUUCAAGCCAUAUUUUAAUUCCAUAAAAGAAAAAAAAUUAAGGCCUAAUGCUGUAUGAAGGUAGAGGCACACUUAUUGUUGCUCCUUGUUUCUUUGAAAACCUAAGCCAACCAUAGACACUGGAUAAACCAAAUCCAAAUAUGCUCAUUUAUGGAGAGUCAGAUUACCCCUUUUGGGUGUUUUCACACGCUAGUAACUAGCAGCGGGUUCCCCGCUGCGGGAAACCCACUGCGAGUUACGCUACCAUUCGUCUGUACUGCUACCGAGGAAGGGGACACCCCGAAACGCGUCUAGCAUUGAUAGAUGACCCAGCAACACAGACCACCCACCAGAAGAACUACAUCCUAGAACCUACAUCCACCAUUCUCAACUGCUGGAACCCCCCCCCAGUUUGAGGCCCACCGCCCAGACCUGCGCCUGCCAGCGCUUGAUACACGAAGACGUCGCUCCCACUCACCGCCGGACUGCUGCAAGCCUUCCACCGUGGUUAAUGGCCGGACGCAGAUUUGUGCCACUCCGGACACAGUAAGACCUUCAUACUGACAUCUAUACCAUCCCAGGACGGCCGCCUAGCCUAGCCAGUCCACAGAAGCGAAGUCUGCCCUGACACUUUCACGAGAUCUUCACACAGCGGUGCGGAGUCACCACCCAACAUGUCACCAGAAGUUACGUGGUUUCAAAGGAAGUAAGGGUGUAGGUGCAGUCUUCUAGAUCCGGCCUUUCAGGAGACAAUCGAGAAUAAAGAACAGAUGUAAUGAAUGGUCUGCAGAGUAGGGGUCAGAACUACAGUCUCUAAACGGUUCCUAUAGACAUUAGAGGAAAGGCUGCAGGAUCAGAAACUACUACAUGAUCAGUCAAUACUCCCAAAGAACAAAGAUUGUGUUAUGAAGCUUAAAGGGGCACUCUGUUGCUAGACAUGUAAGCCCCUAUCCAAAGGGGACCCCUGCGAUCUCUGCAGCACCACGCCAGUCAUCCUGUGUACGGUGCAGCAAUCUCUGUCCAGCUUUUGGGAAGGCCCCAUAGACUUAGAAAGGCACCACAGUUCGGUGAUCACUAAAGCCAGGGAUCGAAGUGCACUACUGCACUAAGACCCAGACUGAGCAAAUCUUUUCACUGUGAUAGGUCAAAAGAUGGUUUUUUUUGUUUGUUUUUUAAUGACCGGGACACUUUAAAAGAGAAUAUCUAGGGUUAGAAAUUGACUGUGCCUUGUACUGAAGCCCAUAUGCAAUAUAAGGGUAUGUUCACACUACGGAUUUGUAACUGAAUCUCCGCUAGCAGAAUUCAGCAAGCGAAGAUCCAGCCUGGAAGCCGGCGGUAGGAGCGCGCGGCACUGCGACUUCACCAUUGACGGCUAUGCAGUGCUCGCGGACUUCCGCCCAAAGAAUGAACAUGUUCUUUCUAUGCGCGGAACAAUUUCAGCGGCGGAAUUGUCCGCCGCUGAAAUUCCGCAGUGUGAACAUACCCUAAGGCUGAGUUCACACUGUGGAAUCUCUGGGCAGAAUUUCUG
Long non-coding RNA from Hyla sarda, 1659 nucleotides. RefSeq lists it as uncharacterized. The record is from RefSeq and is a predicted model, not a curated record. The transcript has 6 exons. NCBI's taxonomy places the organism in Eukaryota, Metazoa, Chordata, Amphibia, Anura, Hylidae.